CCCAGACUCCUACGGGAGGCAGCAGUGGGGGAUAUUGCACAAUGGGGGAAACCCUGAUGCAGCGACGCCGCGUGAGUGAAGAAGUAUUUCGGUAUGUAAAGCUCUAUCAGCAGGGAAGAAAAUGACAGUACCUGACCAAGAAGCCCCGGCUAACUACGUGCCAGCAGCCGCGGUAAUACGUAGGGGGCAAGCGUUAUCCGGAUUUACUGGGUGUAAAGGGAGCGUAGACGGCAGCGCAAGUCUGAAGUGAAAUGCCGGGGCUUAACCCCGGAACUGCUUUGGAAACUGUGCAGCUAGAGUGCAGGAGAGGUAAGUGGAAUUCCUAGUGUAGCGGUGAAAUGCGUAGAUAUUAGGAGGAACACCAGUGGCGAAGGCGGCUUACUGGACUGUAACUGACGUUGAGGCUCGAAAGCGUGGGGAGCAAACAGGAUUAGAUACCCCGGUA
This 445-nucleotide ribosomal RNA is filed under the name uncultured bacterium. RNAcentral's name for it is "bacterial SSU rRNA". It matches the Rfam family "Bacterial small subunit ribosomal RNA", at positions 330 to 792 of the family's 1533-position model. The record is from RNAcentral.